UGGGGAAUCUUCCGCAAUGGACGAAAGUCUGACGGAGCAACGCCGCGUGAGUGAAGAAGGUUUUCGGAUCGUAAAACUCUGUCUUUUGGGGCGAACGUGAGUAUGGUGAACAAUCAUAGUCAGUGACGGUACCAAAGGAGGAAGCCACGGCUAACUACGUGCCAGCAGCCGCGGUAAUACGUAGGUGGCAAGCGUUGUCCGGAAUUAUUGGGCGUAAAGAGCGCGUAGGCGGGAUAGUCAGUCUGUUGUAAAGUGCGGGGCUCAACCCCGUGAUGGCAAUGGAAACAGCUAUUCUUGAGUGCAGGAGAGGAAAGUGGAAUUCCCAGUGUAGCGGUGAAAUGCGUAGAUAUUGGGAGGAACACCAGUGGCGAAGGCGACUUUCUGGACUGUGUCUGACGCUGAGGCGCGAAAGCCAGGGGAGCGAACGGGAUUAGAUACCCCGGUAGUCCUGGCCGUAAACGAUGGGUACUAGGUGUGGGAGGUAUCGACCCCUU
Molecule: ribosomal RNA, 494 nt
Filed under: uncultured bacterium
Lineage: Bacteria
Description: partial 16S ribosomal RNA
Rfam family: Bacterial small subunit ribosomal RNA
Source: RNAcentral